RNAcentral lists this small nuclear RNA (98 nucleotides) under Sciurus vulgaris (Eurasian red squirrel). Lineage: Eukaryota; Metazoa; Chordata; Mammalia; Rodentia; Sciuridae. The record is from RNAcentral.
GUGCUCUCUCAACAGCAUGUACACUAAAAUUGGAAUGUACCGAGAGGAUUAGCAUGGCCCCUGGGCAAAAAUGACAGUCUUGAACAGUCCAGGUUUAA